UCCGAUUGAUCCCGUCGGACCUUACUGCUAUCGAGAUGGGACUAAACCAGGCCAGUCGAACGACCCGGACUAUGGCGGGGAGUGGCAUACUGCUCAGCAACACGUAGCUAACCUAACCUCAAGACGGAAAUAACCCCGGGAAACUGGGGUCAAUGUCCGAUAGAUGUGAAUUCCUGGAAUGGUAUCACAUCCAAAUGUCAGUACACCAUGUUGUACGAACGCUUGAGGAUGGGGCUGCGGCCGAUCAGGCUGUUGGUGGGGUAAUGGCCCACCAAACCUUUGACCGGUAUGGGCCAUGAGAGUGGUAGCCCAGAGAUGGACACUGAGACAAGGGUCCAGGCCCUACGGGGCGCAGCCGGUACGAAACCUCCACAAUGCACGCAAGUGCGAUGGGGUUAUCUCGAGUGCUACCUGAAGAAGGUAGCUUUUCCAUGGCCUAAAUAGCCGUGGGAAUAAGGGGGGGGCAAGACUGGUGUCAGCCGCCGCGGUAACACCAGCCCCCCGAGUGGUAGGGAUGUUUAUUUGGCCUAAAGCGUCCGUAGCCGGCUAGGUAAAUUUCUCGUUAAAUCCAACGUCCUAAGCGUUGGGCCGCGAAAAAGACUGCCAAGCUAGAGGGUGGGAGAGGUCAGCGGUAUUCCUGGGGUAGGGCCGAAAUCCAUUGAACCCAGGAGGACCACCAGUGGCGAAGGCUGCUGACUAGAACACGCCUGACGGUGAGGGACGAAAGCUGGGGUAGCGAAUCGGAUUAGAUACCCGAGUAGUCCCAGCUGUAAACGAUGCAGACUAGGUGUUGGGUUGGCCACGCGCCGACUCAGUGCCACAGGGAAGCCAUUAAGUCUGCCGCCUGGGAAGUACGGCCGCAAGGCUGAAACUUAAAGGAAUUGGCGGGGGAGCACCACCAGGCGUGAAGCCUGCGGUUUAAUUGGAGUCAACGCCGGGAACCUUACCGGGAGCGACAGCAGAGUGAAGGCCAGGCUAAAGGUCUUGCCAGACGAGCUGAGAGGAGGUGCAUGGCCGUCGCCAGUUCGUGCCGUGAGGUGUCCUCUUAAGUGAGGUAACGAACGAGACCCGCGCCGCAUGUUGCUAACAAGUCCUAAAGGGAUGUUGAGCACUCUUGCGGGACCGCAGCCGACAAGGCUGAGGAAGGUGCGGGCAACGGCAGGUCAGUAUGCCCCGAAUCUCCCGGGCCACACGCGGGCUACAAUGGUAGAGACAGAGGGCUGCAACCCCGAAAGGGGAAGCCAAUCCCUAAACUCUACCUCAGUUGGGAUUGAGGGCUGCAACCC
This 1286-nucleotide ribosomal RNA is filed under the name metagenome. RNAcentral describes it as "bacterial SSU rRNA". It matches the Rfam family "Archaeal small subunit ribosomal RNA", at positions 1 to 1269 of the family's 1478-position model. The record is from RNAcentral.